UACGUAGGGGGCAAGCGUUGUCCGGAUUCAUUGGGCGUAAAGAGCGUGUAGGCGGCCAGGUAGGUCGGUUGUGAAAACUGGAGGCUCAACCUUCAGAGGUCGACCGAAACCAUCUGGCUAGAGUCCGGGAGAGGAGAGUGGAAUUCCUGGUGUAGCGGUGAAAUGCGCAGAUAUCAGGAAGAACACCCGUGGCGAAGGCGGCUCACUGGCCCGGUACUGACGCUGAGGUGCGAAAGCGUGGGGAGCAAACAGG
This 253-nucleotide ribosomal RNA is filed under the name uncultured bacterium. RNAcentral's name for it is "partial 16S ribosomal RNA". It matches the Rfam family "Bacterial small subunit ribosomal RNA", at positions 524 to 776 of the family's 1533-position model. The record is from RNAcentral.